RNAcentral lists this ribosomal RNA (253 nucleotides) under uncultured bacterium. RNAcentral's name for it is "partial 16S ribosomal RNA". It matches the Rfam family "Bacterial small subunit ribosomal RNA", at positions 524 to 776 of the family's 1533-position model. The record is from RNAcentral.
UACGUAGGGGGCAAGCGUUGUCCGGAAUCAUUGGGCGUAAAGCGCGUGUAGGCGGUUCGGUAAGUCGGCUGUGAAAGUCCAGGGCUCAACCCUGGGAUGCCGGUCGAUACUGCCGGACUAGAGUUCGGAAGAGGCGAGUGGAAUUCCCGGUGUAGCGGUGAAAUGCGCAGAUAUCGAGAGGAACACCUGCGGCGAAGGCGGGUUGCUGGGCUGAUACUGACGCUGAGGCGCGAAAGCCAGGGGAGCAAACGGG